UGAGGAAUCUUGCGCAAUGGGGGAAACCCUGACGCAGCAACGCCGCGUGAGUGAAGAAGGCCUUCGGGUCGUAAAGCUCUGUCAGAUGGGAAGAAAUGGAUGGGGGCUAAUAUCGUCCAUCCUUGACGGUACCAUCAGAGGAAGCACCGGCUAACUCCGUGCCAGCAGCCGCGGUAAUACGGGGGGUGCAAGCGUUGUUCGGAAUCAUUGGGCGUAAAGCGCGCGCAGGCGGUGCGAUAAGUGGCAGGUGAAAUCCCUCGGCUUAACCGGGGAACGGCCUGCCAAACUGUCGCGCUUGAGGCUGGGAGGGGAGAGCGGAAUUCCUGGUGUAGCGGUGAAAUGCGUAGAUACCAGGAGGAACACCGGUGGCGAAGGCGGCUCUCUGGACCAGUUCUGACACUCAUGCGCGAAAGCGUGGGUAGCAAACA
RNAcentral lists this ribosomal RNA (428 nucleotides) under uncultured prokaryote. RNAcentral's name for it is "bacterial SSU rRNA". It matches the Rfam family "Bacterial small subunit ribosomal RNA", at positions 355 to 774 of the family's 1533-position model. The record is from RNAcentral.